CAUGUAAUACUUUAAAUGUUAAAACUGUAAAACAUGUAAUAUUUAUCCCAAGCUUUCACUCGUGUUGCCGAUGAUCAUGGGAGAUCAAGAUCAUUAAGACUCCCUUUUCCUAUCUCAAGAAGUGAUCCGUUGUUCAAAUAACAUUCAAGUUGUCUGAUCCAGUCGAUCAUCAAGAGGGAUCAGAGUAUAAUCCGGAGUUCUUGAUGCUCCAAAUGAGGCUAGGGUUGUCUCACUAACAAUAGCAGGCAGAAAGAAUCUGAGAAUAACUGUACAUAUCGUUUCUGUACUACGUUCUACUGUUUAUCUGGAGGGACUGUAUCUAGAUCAAUUCCAUAAGGUGAAUACUACUGAUAUUUCAAUAAUUAUCAUACUGAAAUUAUACUGACACACGGAGAACUUGAAACUUGAUAAAACCCAAACAGAAGACAUUUGGAUCAGCGCGCGAGAAAACCAUAAUCACCAUCAAAUGUAAGAUUUACAUUAGAAAGCUAGGGACACCAUUGUAUUUCGCAAAUUAUUCUCAUGUGCCCUUUGAACCAGAUGUUUUAAGCUUUUAUAAAGUUCUCAUAUAAUGCUUAAUGCUUAAAAUCCUUUUAUCUGGUCGUAACAUUUCACCAGAGAUCACAUUUUGAAAUAUUGGAUUUUAAUGUAUUCUGUCAAAUAACUUUAUCUGGUCACACCAUUUUACCAUUCAUCCCACUUUAUAAAGAUAUGCCAUGCUAAUUAAGUUUAUAAUUAAGCUUCAGAGCUUGAUGAUGAUCAAGAAAAAACUCUAAAACUAAAGACUGGACUUGAUUAUUCUGUGUAUGAGGUGGCGUAUAAACAAUAUAUUGGUUAAAUAGCUAUGAACUUCUAUUGUUGCACACUGAAAAUUAUUAGGAGAGACGCUAAAAGCUGAAAAGUCCACACUUACAGUCCCUUUAAAUCAAAAGUAAAAAUUCUAAGUCGUUUUAAAAAAAAAAAAAAAUUUUG
Long non-coding RNA from Eurytemora carolleeae, 972 nucleotides. RefSeq lists it as uncharacterized. Lineage: Eukaryota; Metazoa; Arthropoda; Copepoda; Calanoida; Temoridae. The transcript has 3 exons. The record is from RefSeq and is a predicted model, not a curated record.